Molecule: ribosomal RNA, 424 nt
Filed under: Verrucomicrobiota bacterium
Lineage: Bacteria; Pseudomonadati; Verrucomicrobiota
Also listed under: 1 other name
Description: Verrucomicrobia bacterium partial 16S ribosomal RNA
Rfam family: Bacterial small subunit ribosomal RNA
Source: RNAcentral
UGAGGAAUAUUGGUCAAUGGGCGCGAGCCUGAACCAGCCAAGUAGCGUGCAGGAAGACGGCCCUAUGGGUUGUAAACUGCUUUUAUGCGGGGAUAAAGGAGUCCACGUGUGGAUUUUUGCAGGUACCGCAUGAAUAAGGACCGGCUAAUUCCGUGCCAGCAGCCGCGGUAAUACGGAAGGUCCGGGCGUUAUCCGGAUUUAUUGGGUUUAAAGGGAGCGUAGGCCGCGUUUUAAGCGUGUUGUGAAAUGUAGACGCCCAACGUCUGCAUCGCAGCGCGAACUGGGACGCUUGAGUACGCGCAACGUUGGCGGAAUUCGUCGUGUAGCGGUGAAAUGCUUAGAUAUGACGAGGAACUCCGAUUGCGAAGGCAGCUGACGGGAGCGGCACUGACGCUUAAGCUCGAAGGUGCGGGUAUCAAACAGG